CUGUUGCUGAAACCGGCUCUCUAUCAGAGGUUAGGCUGAGCACACGCAUGACAACCCUCAACCCAGCCACGCUCAGGCUUUGGACAGCACUUGCAGGUGUCAAGAGGGCUUUCACACAUGUCAUCUAAUUGUAAUCCUUACAACAACCCUGCCUUAUUAUCCCCCAUUUUACAGAUGGAGAGACUGAGGCUGAGAGGGAGUGGCUUGCCUAAGGCCACUUCACGACUUCAUGGCAGAGACGAGAUUCAAACCAGGGACUUCUUGAUUCACAGCUCAGUCUCUUAGCCAUGGCGCUGUGCCAGCAUAGGGAGGGGACAGACCCGGUGGCCUUCCUCCUGCCCUCCACUUCCAUGUUCAGUGCCAGCUCUUUGUUGAAUAAAGUAAAAGAGAAAUCCCGCCUUUUCCCCUCCUUAAGGAACCCAAGGCGGCGUACAUAACCCUCCUCCUCCUCCUCUCCAUGUUAUCCUCACAACAACAACAACCCUGUGAGUGGAAGACCAGCUGGGAUAAGUCUGGCAGGAGUCCGGAGGACGAAUUACCGUCUGGGAAUGUAAACCAGCUUAAACUGGAGCUUAAUUGAACCAGUUUAUUGGGGGACGGAAAUUGAAUCCAGUUCCAGUUCCAUGGGUAUCUGUCGAGAAGGCGGCUGAUCUGAUCGCAGGAGCCUCUCUGAUAAGAUCUAUGCCGCGAGUGGAGUCUCAACCGCAAAGAGGUCUUGGCGGAACCAUUACCGUUCCCUCCGGAAACGCCGCCCAUCCGGAGCUUGGCUGCCAUCCCAGAAGACGAGGGAGGGCAGGGCUGCGAGGAAGUGUGGCCUGCCUCACUUCUCCAGCCUGAAGGUGGAGGUCUGAGCAGACGAGAGAGGAAGGCCGGG
This is a long non-coding RNA of Elgaria multicarinata webbii, 874 nucleotides long. RefSeq lists it as uncharacterized. Lineage: Eukaryota; Metazoa; Chordata; Lepidosauria; Squamata; Anguidae. The record is from RefSeq and is a predicted model, not a curated record. The transcript has 3 exons.